Molecule: ribosomal RNA, 253 nt
Filed under: uncultured bacterium
Lineage: Bacteria
Description: partial 16S ribosomal RNA
Rfam family: Bacterial small subunit ribosomal RNA
Source: RNAcentral
UACGUAGGGUGCAAGCGUUAAUCGGAAUUACUGGGCGUAAAGCGUGCGCAGGCGGUUUUGUAAGUCUGACGUGAAAUCCCCGGGCUCAACCUGGGAACUGCAUUGGUGACUGCACGGCUAGAGUGUGUCAGAGGGGGGUAGAAUUCCACGUGUAGCAGUGAAAUGCGUAGAGAUGUGGAGGAAUACCGAUGGCGAAGGCAGCCCCCUGGGUCAAGAUUGACGCUCAUGCACGAAAGCGUGGGGAGCAAACAGG